GGGGAACCAGGACUUUUACUUUGAAAAAAUUAGAGUGCUCCAGGCAGGCCUAUGCUCGAAUACAUUAGCAUGGAAUAAUAGAAUAGGACGUGUGGUUCUAUUUUGUUGGUUUCUAGGACCGCCGUAAUGAUUAAUAGGGACAGUCGGGGGCAUCAGUAUUCAAUUGUCAGAGGUGAAAUUCUUGGAUCUAUUGAAGACUAACUACUGCGAAAGCAUUUGCCAAGGAUGUUUUCAUUGAUAAGGAACGAAAGUUAGGGGAUCGAAGACGAUCAGAUACCGUCGUAGUCUUAACUAUAAACUAUGCCGACUAGGGAUCGGACGAUGUUAUCUUUUGACGCGUUCGGCACCUUUCGAGAAAUCAAAGUGCUUGGGCUCCAGGGGGAGUAUGGUCGCAAGGCUGAAACUUAAAGAAAUUGACGGAAGGGCACCACCAGGGGUGGAACCUGCGGCUUAAUUUGACUCAACACGGGGAAACUCACCAGGUCCAGACACAGUGAGGAUUGACAGAUUGAGAGCUCUUUCUUGAUUCUGUGGGUGGUGGUGCAUGGCCGUUCUUAGUUGGUGGAGUGAUUUGUCUGCUUAAUUGCGAUAACGAACGAGACCU
RNAcentral lists this ribosomal RNA (604 nucleotides) under uncultured fungus. Its description in RNAcentral is "SSU rRNA". It matches the Rfam family "Eukaryotic small subunit ribosomal RNA", at positions 737 to 1343 of the family's 1831-position model. Lineage: Eukaryota; Fungi. The record is from RNAcentral.